GACAGCGGAGGGAUCAUUACCGAGUUUACAACUCCCAAACCCCUGUGAACAUACCAAUUGUUGCCUCGGCGGAUCAGCCCGCUCCCGGUAAAACGGAACGGCCCGCCAGAGGACCCCUAAACUUUGUUUCUAUAUGUAACUUCUGAGUAAAACCAUAAAUAAAUCAAAACUUUCAACAACGGAUCUCUUGGUUCUGGCAUCGAUGAAGAACGCAGCAAAAUGCGAUAAGUAAUGUGAAUUGCAGAAUUCAGUGAAUCAUCGAAUCUUUGAACGCACAUUGCGCCCGCCAGUAUUCUGGCGGGCAUGCCUGUUCGAGCGUCAUUUCAACCCUCAAGCCCCCGGGUUUGGUGUUGGGGAUCGGCGAGCCUCACGGCAAGCCGGCCCCGAAAUACAGUGGCGGUCUCGCUGCAGCUUCCAUUGCGUAGUAGUAAAACCCUCGCAACUGGUACGCGGCGCGGCCAAGCCGUUAAACCCCCAACUUCUGAAUGUUGACCUCGGAUCAGGUAGGAAUACCCGCUGAACUUAAGCAUAUCAAUAAGCGGAGGA
Molecule: ribosomal RNA, 546 nt
Filed under: uncultured Hypocreales
Lineage: Eukaryota; Fungi; Ascomycota; Sordariomycetes; Hypocreales
Description: eukaryotic LSU rRNA
Rfam family: 5.8S ribosomal RNA (bases 168-321)
Source: RNAcentral